GAGUUUGAUCCUGGCUCAGGACGAACGCUGACGGUGUGCUUUAGGCAUGCAAGUCGAACGAGAAAGCCCUUCGGGGUGAGUACAGUGGCGAACGGGUGAGUAACACGUGGGCAAUCUGCCCCUCGCAGGGGGACAACCGGGGGAAACUCCGGCUAAUACCCCGUACGCUUACGGAGCCGCAUGGCCCCGUAAGGAGAGGUAGCUUCGGCCAUCCGGCGAGGGAUGAGCCCGCGGUACAUUAGCUAGUUGGUGAGGUAACGGCUCACCAAGGCGACGAUGUAUAGCUGGUCUGAGAGGAUGAUCAGCCACACUGGGACUGAGACACGGCCCAGACUCCUACGGGAGGCAGCAGUCGGGAAUCUUGCGCAAUGGGCGAAAGCCUGACGCAGCAACACCGUGUGAGCGACGAAGGCCUUCGGGUCGUAAAGCUCUGUUGUUGGGGACGAAGGGUUAGGGGUUAAUAGCCCCGAGCCUGACGGUACCCUUCGAGGAAGCCCCGGCUAACUACGUGCCAGCAGCCGCGGUAAUACGUAGGGGGCGAGCGUUGUCCGGAAUUAUUGGGCGUAAAGAGCGUGUAGGCGGUUCGGUAAGUCUGCCGUGAAAACCCAGGGCUCAACCCUGGGCGUGCGGUGGAUACUGUCGGGCUAGAGGGUGGUAGAGGCGAGUGGAAUUCCCGGUGUAGCGGUGAAAUGCGCAGAUAUCGGGAGGAACACCAGUAGCGAAGGCGGCUCGCUGGGCCAUACCUGACGCUGAGACGCGAAAGCGUGGGGAGCAAACAGGAUUAGAUACCCCUGUAGUCC
Molecule: ribosomal RNA, 800 nt
Filed under: uncultured bacterium
Lineage: Bacteria
Description: bacterial SSU rRNA
Rfam family: Bacterial small subunit ribosomal RNA
Source: RNAcentral